GUAUUGAGGGUGUGGGCUGGUUCACACUCGCUGUGUACAGGGUGGGCAAGACAGCCCUUCUGUAUCCACAUGAAGUUCAUUAUGGCCACAUAACUUCCUUGGGUCAGCAGAAGCUGUCACGGGGGGACACCUGUGCACCUGCAUCUCUCUCCUCUGCUUCGUGAAGGAGGCGGCUUAGGGAAGAUUGCAGAACUUUCAGGAGCCUCAAUCAACAGCUCCCAGGGCUUCAAGUCAACCAGGCAGUAGCGGCCUCCCCUAACCUCCUGAGUCUGGCCACCGCGGAGACCAGAUUCAACCUGCCACUCAGCUCACAAGCUCACUGGCCCAGACCUUUGGAAGUGCCUGCAACACCAGGAGGCCUCAGGGACACUGGGCUCAGGUGGGUAUUGGGUGUCUUCUCUGAGAACCCCUGAGAUUCCACCAAGGCACUUCACUGUGGCUGGGCUCUGCACCCAGAGGAGGAGACUGGGUCACUGAGAAGGCAGGCCAGGUGCAGAGUGAUGGAAGCAG
This is a long non-coding RNA of Bos indicus x Bos taurus (hybrid cattle), 510 nucleotides long. Lineage: Eukaryota; Metazoa; Chordata; Mammalia; Artiodactyla; Bovidae. The record is from Ensembl.